Molecule: transfer RNA, 77 nt
Filed under: Oscillibacter sp. 1-3
Lineage: Bacteria; Bacillati; Bacillota; Clostridia; Eubacteriales; Oscillospiraceae
Also listed under: 11 other names
Description: tRNA-Arg
Rfam family: tRNA
About the family: Transfer RNA (tRNA) molecules are approximately 80 nucleotides in length. Their secondary structure includes four short double-helical elements and three loops (D, anti-codon, and T loops).
Source: RNAcentral
GCGUCCGUAGCUCAGCAGGAUAGAGCGUCCGCCUCCUAAGCGGAAGGCCAGCGGUUCGAAUCCGCUCGGGCGUACCA